AAUUGCUCAAGACAGCCAUUGAAAAGGCUGGAUACACAGGCAAAGUUGUCAUUGGAAUGGAUGUUGUUGCAUCUGAGUUUUAUGGAUAAGAUAAAACCUAUGACAUGAACUUCAAGGAAGAGAAAAAUGAUGGUUCCCAAAACAUCUCAAGAAAUGCUCUCAAG
Molecule: non-coding RNA, 164 nt
Organism: Prunus avium (sweet cherry)
Lineage: Eukaryota; Viridiplantae; Streptophyta; Magnoliopsida; Rosales; Rosaceae
Source: RefSeq, a predicted model, not a curated record